Molecule: long non-coding RNA, 481 nt
Organism: Struthio camelus australis
Lineage: Eukaryota; Metazoa; Chordata; Aves; Struthioniformes; Struthionidae
Source: Ensembl
CUUUGAAAAGACUGUGAUUUACUACACCAGUAAAGAAGACAUCUGGGAGAGAAGAGCUAAGCCUAUUCAAAGCUCAGAGAGUUUACAAUUUAUAAAUUUAAAUUAUCUGCUUUCAGCAUUAAAAUGAUGUUUCAGAAUGACAAAAGGAAGUGAUCACUGGUGUACAUCAGGCUGACUUAACCACAGGCUUCACUGGCAGCGUGCAAAAGAGGUUUUGUAAAUGUAACGUUAAGAAUAAAUGGCGGUUAUUCUCCAUUCAUCUGUUUGCUGCGAGCAAGACAGAAUAAGCAAAAGCAACAGAAGGAUCACCAGACGCCGAAAGCCGAUGUGGUUGAAACUGAACCUGCAGAAGCCGGAGCAGAAAUGCAGAUCACAACUGUCUAGUGUUCAUGAAGUCAUCAGAUUCUGGAUCAAAAAAACCAAUGGCUACAGUGCACAGUCUCAGGAAUUGUUUCUGAGAGUCCAGUAACCAUUAUCCGUG